This 874-nucleotide ribosomal RNA is filed under the name Seiridium cupressi. RNAcentral's name for it is "partial large subunit ribosomal RNA". It matches the Rfam family "Eukaryotic large subunit ribosomal RNA", at positions 61 to 960 of the family's 3401-position model. Lineage: Eukaryota; Fungi; Ascomycota; Sordariomycetes; Amphisphaeriales; Sporocadaceae. The record is from RNAcentral.
GAAACCAACAGGGAUUGCCCUAGUAACGGCGAGUGAAGCGGCAACAGCUCAAAUUUGAAAUCUGGCCCUUGGGUCCGAAUUGUAAUUUGUAGAGGAUGAUUUUGGUGCGGUAUCUUCCGAGUUCCUUGGAACAGGACGCCUUAGAGGGUGAGAGCCCCGUACGGUUGAAUGCCUAGCCUCUGUAAAUCUCCUUCGACGAGUCGAGUAGUUUGGGAAUGCUGCUCUAAAUGGGAGGUAAAUUUCUUCUAAAGCUAAAUACUGGCCAGAGACCGAUAGCGCACAAGUAGAGUGAUCGAAAGAUGAAAAGCACUUUGAAAAGAGGGUUAAAUAGCACGUGAAAUUGUUGAAAGGGAAGGAUUUAUGACCAGACUUUUUCUGGGCGGAUCAUCCGGUGUUCUCACCGGUGCACUUUGCCCAGUUUAGGCCAGCAUCGAUUUUCGGAGAGGGAUAAAAGCUUUGGGAAUGUGGCUCCCUCCGGGGAGUGUUAUAGCCCAUUGUAUAAUACCUUUCUGGGGAUCGAGGUACGCGCUUCUGCAAGGAUGCUGGCGUAAUGGUUAUCAAUCACCCGUCUUGAAACACGGACCAAGGAGUCGAACAUUUGUGCAAGUGUUUGGGUGUUAAACCCUCACGCGUAAUGAAAGUGAACGGAGGUGAGAGCCCUUACGGGUGCAUCAUCGACCGAUCCUGAAGUUUUCGGAUGGAUUUGAGUAAGAGCAUAACUGUUCGGACCCGAAAGAUGGUGAACUAUGCGUGGAUAGGGUGAAGCCAGAGGAAACUCUGGUGGAGGCUCGCAGCGGUUCUGACGUGCAAAUCGAUCGUCAAAUCUGCGCAUGGGGGCGAAAGACUAAUCGAACCAUCUAGUAGCUGGUUACCG